Molecule: transfer RNA, 66 nt
Filed under: Carinata rufipenna
Lineage: Eukaryota; Metazoa; Arthropoda; Insecta; Hemiptera; Cicadellidae
Also listed under: 1 other name
Description: tRNA-Asn
Source: RNAcentral
UUAACUGAAGCCAAAAUUUGAGGUAUUUUAUUGUUAAUAAAAUUAAUGAAUUAAUUUCCAGUUAAA